Molecule: non-coding RNA, 673 nt
Organism: Anas platyrhynchos (mallard)
Lineage: Eukaryota; Metazoa; Chordata; Aves; Anseriformes; Anatidae
Source: RefSeq, a predicted model, not a curated record
CUUGGAAGGCACAGAGAUGCGAGCUGGAUAUGCAGAGGGAUGCUGGCUGGGGUUUUAAGCAGCACUGGUCAUAAAAAGAUGUGCUGGGUUCUCCAGUGGCUAGUGAUACAGCCCAUCUCACACAACCCAAAACAGCUGCUUGGAAGCAUCAGAGAAAGCCUCAGCAUGGGGACUCAGGCUGUGACGGCUAUGAUAGCUGUGAUGAGUUAAAAGCAUGAACACCUGGAAGGCCGGGGAGGAGGGGAGGUGAGCAGGAAACAGGAUGCCUGUUGAGUCAUAGGGACUUAGAAGAUGAAGGCUUGGAAUGCCCAGGGAUGAUUUAAUCUAGAAAACAGAAGAUGACUUUUGUUACAGGAAGCACAGUUCCCUUUUCAGCAUUUUCUUGGCAUGGUUUAGAAGAGUUCAGCUGCAGGAUCCCCACCCAUGGCUGGCUAGUGACCUUGUGCUGCUGCAGAGCUUCCAGUCCUUCAUCUGCUCAACAAAAGAACGAUUCUGGAAACUUCCCUGGAUUGCUCCAGUUUGAUGUGAGCUGGAUACGUGAUCAGGGAGGUUCAUCUGGCUCUUUGCAGGGGUUUGGGAAGUAGAGGCAUUUGAGAUAGGGGAGCCCACCAGUGUGGUGGGACUAGUAGUCCAUCCACCACCCAGCAGCUCCUCAGGUUUUAUGAAUCUACAA